This 798-nucleotide ribosomal RNA is filed under the name uncultured bacterium. RNAcentral's name for it is "bacterial SSU rRNA". It matches the Rfam family "Bacterial small subunit ribosomal RNA", at positions 626 to 1425 of the family's 1533-position model. The record is from RNAcentral.
UUNUGAACUGGGUGACUAGAGUGUGUCAGAGGGAGGUAGAAUNCCACGUGUAGCAGUGAAACGCGUAGAGAUGUGGAGGAAUACCGAUGGCGAAGGCAGCCUCCUGGGAUAACACUGACGUUCAUGCCCGAAAGCGUGGGUAGCAAACAGGAUUAGAUACCCUGGUAGUCCACGCCCUAAACGAUGUCGAUUAGCUGUUGGGCAGCAUGACUGCUUAGUAGCGAAGCUAACGCGUGAAAUCGACCGCCUGGGGAGUACGGUCGCAAGAUUAAAACUCAAAGGAAUUGACGGGGACCCGCGCAAGCGGUGGAUGAUGUGGAUUAAUUCGAUGCAACGCGAAGAACCUUACCUGGUCUUGACAUGUACGGAACCCUCCAGAGACGGAGGAGUGCCUUCGGGAGCCGUAACACAGGUGCUGCAUGGCUGUCGUCAGCUCGUGUCGUGAGAUGUUGGGUUAAGUCCCGCAACGAGCGCAACCCUUGUCAUUAGUUGCCAUCAUUAAGUUGGGCACUCUAAUGAGACUGCCGGUGACAAGCCGGAGGAAGGUGGGGAUGACGUCAAGUCCUCAUGGCCCUUAUGACCAGGGCUUCACACGUCAUACAAUGGUCGGUACAGAGGGUAGCCAAGCCGCGAGGCGGAGCCAAUCUCACAAAACUGAUCGUAGUCCGGAUUGCACUCUGCAACUCGAGUGCAUGAAGUCGGAAUCGCUAGUAAUCGCAGGUCAGCAUACUGCGGUGAAUACGUUCCCGGGUCUUGUACACACCGCCCGUCACACCAUGGGAGUGGGGGAUACCAGAA